CUCCACCUCCAUUAUUUCUUUAACAACACAACCUCCACACCUCCAUCUUCACCAGGCCCAUCUUAAUCGCCGCUUCAACCUCCUUCAGAUUCGUUCAUACUUCUUUCUCCACCUCGACUCAACUUCAAAGACGGAGCCGCCACUAUUCCGGCAACGCUCCAACCCCCUACUUCAAGCCGCCCAAACCUCCGCUACAAUCAUCUUUCCUCCAUCUCCACCUUCCCCUCCACCAUCUCCACCACUAUCACCACCAUCUGAAUCGAAAACAUGAACAGAUCUGGAGAUUCUAAGCUGGUUAAUAUCUGGAGAUUGAGUUUUCACUAAAUUCUGCAGCACAGAUCACUAAAUCCUAAAAAGAUAAUCACUAAAUUGUACUGAGAAUAUCACUAACUUGUAUUGGUUUCUAGUUUUUAUUUUAAAAUUGGUUUCUAU
RNAcentral lists this long non-coding RNA (432 nucleotides) under Daucus carota (carrot). Its description in RNAcentral is "long non-coding RNA (DCAR_LNC005127)". Lineage: Eukaryota; Viridiplantae; Streptophyta; Magnoliopsida; Apiales; Apiaceae. The record is from RNAcentral.